ACGAACGCUGGCGGCGUGCCUAAUACAUGCAAGUUGAGCGCUGAAGGUUGGUACUUGUACCAACUGGAUGAGCAGCGAACAGGUGAGUAACGCGUGGGGAAUCUGCCUUUGAGCGGGGGACAACAUUUGGAAACGAAUGCUAAUACCGCAUAAAAACUUUAAACACAAGUUUUAAGUUUGAAAGAUGCAAUUGCAUCACUCAAAGAUGAUCCCGCGUUGUAUUAGCUAGUUGGUGAGGUAAAGGCUCACCAAGGCGAUGAUACAUAGCCGACCUGAGAGGGUGAUCGGCCACAUUGGGACUGAGACACGGCCCAAACUCCUACGGGAGGCAGCAGUAGGGAAUCUUCGGCAAUGGACGAAAGUCUGACCGAGCAACGCCGCGUGAGUGAAGAAGGGUUUCGGAUCGUAAAACUCUGUUGGUAGAGAAGAACGUUGGUGAGAGUGGAAAGCUCAUCAAGUGACGGUAACUACACAGAAAGGGACGGCUAACUACGUG
RNAcentral lists this ribosomal RNA (496 nucleotides) under uncultured bacterium. RNAcentral's name for it is "partial 16S ribosomal RNA". It matches the Rfam family "Bacterial small subunit ribosomal RNA", at positions 29 to 507 of the family's 1533-position model. The record is from RNAcentral.